RNAcentral lists this ribosomal RNA (480 nucleotides) under uncultured bacterium. Its description in RNAcentral is "partial 16S ribosomal RNA". It matches the Rfam family "Bacterial small subunit ribosomal RNA", at positions 28 to 523 of the family's 1533-position model. The record is from RNAcentral.
GACGAACGCUGGCGGCGUGCCUAACACAUGCAAGUCGAACGGAGAUAUGAUUUCGGUUGUAUCUUAGUGGCGAACGGGUGAGUAACGCGUGAACAACCUGACUCUAGAGGGGGAUAACACUCGGAAACGGGUGCUAAUACCGCAUAAGACCACGACCCGGCAUCGGGAUGAGGUCAAAGGAGCAAUCCGCUGAGAGAGGGGUUCGCGUCCCAUUAGAUAGAUGGCGGGGUAACGGCCCACCAUGUCAACGAUGGGCAGCCGAGCUGAGAGGCUGAUCGGCCACACUGGAACUGAGACACGGUCCAGACUCCUACGGGAGGCAGCAGUGGGGAAUAUUGGGCAAUGGGCGCAAGCCUGACCCAGCAACGCCGCGUGAGGGAAGAAGGCUUUCGGGUUGUAAACCUCUGUCCUUGGUGACGAAACAAAUGACGGUAGCCAAGGAGGAAGCCCCGGCUAACUACGUGCCAGCAGCCGCCGCGG